GCGUCGGUGGUUCAGUGGUAGAAUACUCGCCUCCCAGGCGGGUGACCCGGUUCGAUUCCCGGCCGACGCA
This 70-nucleotide transfer RNA is filed under the name Rhipicephalus microplus (southern cattle tick). Its description in RNAcentral is "tRNA-Gly". It matches the Rfam family "tRNA". Rfam says of the family: Transfer RNA (tRNA) molecules are approximately 80 nucleotides in length. Their secondary structure includes four short double-helical elements and three loops (D, anti-codon, and T loops). Lineage: Eukaryota; Metazoa; Arthropoda; Arachnida; Ixodida; Ixodidae. The record is from Rfam by way of RNAcentral.